Molecule: ribosomal RNA, 502 nt
Filed under: uncultured bacterium
Lineage: Bacteria
Description: partial 16S ribosomal RNA
Rfam family: Bacterial small subunit ribosomal RNA
Source: RNAcentral
GACGAACGCUGGCGGCGUGCUUAACACAUGCAAGUCGAACGGUGAAGGGGUCUGCUUUUGUGGGCCCUGGAUGAGUGGCGAACGGGUGAGUAACACGUGAGUAACCUGCCCCCUUCUUCUGGAUAACCGCAUGAAAGUGUGGCUAAUACGGGAUAUUCUGGGUCUGUCGCAUGAUGGGUCUGGGAAAGAUUGCGCCUUUGGGUGUUUUUGGUGGGGGAUGGGCUCGCGGCCUAUCAGCUUGUUGGUGGGGUGAUGGCCUACCAAGGCGGUGACGGGUAGCCGGCCUGAGAGGGUGGACGGUCACACUGGGACUGAGACACGGCCCAGACUCCUACGGGAGGCAGCAGUGGGGAAUAUUGCACAAUGGGCGCAAGCCUGAUGCAGCGACGCCACGUGAGGGAUGGAGGCCUUCGGGUUGUAAACCUCUUUCGCCAGUGAAGCAGGCCUGCUCCUUGUGGGUGGGUUGACGGUAGCUGGAGAAGAAGCGCCGGCUAACUACGUG